CAAAGCGAUCGUUCCGUGA
Molecule: microRNA, 19 nt
Filed under: Caenorhabditis elegans
Lineage: Eukaryota; Metazoa; Nematoda; Chromadorea; Rhabditida; Rhabditidae
Source: RNAcentral